This 493-nucleotide ribosomal RNA is filed under the name uncultured bacterium. Its description in RNAcentral is "partial 16S ribosomal RNA". It matches the Rfam family "Bacterial small subunit ribosomal RNA", at positions 30 to 507 of the family's 1533-position model. The record is from RNAcentral.
CGAACGCUGGCGGCGUGCCUAAUACAUGCAAGUAGCACGCUGAAGGAGGAGCUUGCUUCUCUGGAUGAGUUGCGAACGGGUGAGUAACGCGUAGGUAACCUGCCUGGUAGCGGGGGAUAACUAUUGGAAACGAUAGCUAAUACCGCAUAAUAGUAGAUGUUGCAUAACAUUUGCUUAAAAGGUGCAAUUGCAUCACUACCAGAUGGACCUGCGUUGUAUUAGCUAGUUGGUGGGGUAACGGCUCACCAAGGCGACGAUACAUAGCCGACCUGAGAGGGUGGUCGGCCACACUGGGACUGUGACACGGCCCAGACUCCUACGGGAGGCAGCAGUAGGGAAUCUUCGGCAAUGGACGGAAGUCUGACCGAGCAACGCCGCGUGAGUGAAGAAGGUUUUCGGAUCGUAAAGCUCUGUUGUAAGAGAAGAACGAGUGUGAGAGUGGAAAGUUCACACUGUGACGGUAUCUUACCAGAAAGGGACGGCUAACUACGUG